Molecule: non-coding RNA, 1049 nt
Organism: Oryza sativa Japonica Group (Japanese rice)
Lineage: Eukaryota; Viridiplantae; Streptophyta; Magnoliopsida; Poales; Poaceae
Source: RefSeq, a predicted model, not a curated record
CUCCCAUGGCGUCCCUCCUCUGCCCUGCCGCCGCCGCCUCCUACUCCUCCCUACUCUCCUCCUCCUUCCCCUCCAGGCGGCGGCCCCAGCCCAGCGCCCCACUGGCGUCUCCCGCCCCGUCGUCUCCUCCCCGCCCUCGCUCCGUCGCCGCGGCCGCCGCCUACGGUUACGGCGGCGACGUGCUGAUGAGGCCCUUCGACACGCAGACGCUCCUCAUCUCCGCCGCCGUCGUCUCCGCCGUCUCCCUCUCCCUCGUCCUCGGCCUCAAGGUUGUCGCCCGCUCGCUCGCGCUGUCUGCUCUGAAUUUUCUCUCUCUCUAUAUAUAUACUAUAUCGUUAGCCAAACCAUGUGCUUUGCUGCAAUUUUUCUUUUUCUUUUCGUGUUUGUUUGUUUGUUUCAGGGUGAUCCGGUGCCGUGCGAAAGGUGCGCCGGGAAUGGAGGCACAAAGUGUGUCUUUUGCAACGACGGCAAGAUGAAGGUUGAAAAUGGAGUAGUCGAGUGCCGUGUAUGCAAAGGAGCAGGGUUAAUACUAUGCAAGAAGUGUUCAGGUUCUGGUUACUCUAGGCGCUUGUAGCCAGUGCCACUGAACAUUUCUUUCCUUUUUGUUAACUAUGGACGACAGGGUGAUAGCUUGCAUCUGAUUAUCUGAAACAAGCUUUGUACAGAUGAAUGGAGAAAUCUUCUAUGUCUCGAGUUUUAGAGUACUUCUACACCAGAGAAAAAUAAAAGAAAAAUCAGGGUUCUAGUUUCAAGGGACAAUCAGGAGACAGCCAAUCCAAGCUGCAUGUGACGCCGAUGCGGUGCGGCAGCUGAAUCUUUCAAUACACAAACGGUGUUGUGUUCGUACUAAUUUUCUCCUUUUUCUUUUUAGUGUGUUAUAUAAAAAGGGAAGACAUGUACUACAAGCUGACUGAUCAUUUUGUUUAUUAGGCUGUGUUUAGAUUUCAACUUUUUUCUUCAAACUUUUAACUUUUCUGUCAUAUCAAAUAUUUGGACACAUGUAUGUAUAAGAGCAUCAAGUAUAGAUAAAAAGAAAAACUAAUUGCACA